UACGUAGGGAGCGAGCGUUGUCCGGAUUUAUUGGGCGUAAAGAGCUCGUAGGCGGUUUGGUAAGUCGGGUGUGAAAGCUCCGAGCUCAACUCGGAGAGGUCACUCGAUACUGCCAUGACUGGAGUCCGGUAGGGGGGUGUGGAAUUCCCAGUGUAGCGGUGAAAUGCGCAGAUAUCAGGAGGAACACCAAUAGCGAAGGCAGCUCGCUGGGACGGUACUGACGCUAAGGCGCGAAAGCGUGGGGAGCGAACAGG
RNAcentral lists this ribosomal RNA (254 nucleotides) under uncultured bacterium. RNAcentral's name for it is "partial 16S ribosomal RNA". It matches the Rfam family "Bacterial small subunit ribosomal RNA", at positions 524 to 776 of the family's 1533-position model. The record is from RNAcentral.